UUGCGCUAGGCGGGAAGCUAGCGGUGUCCUGUCACCCGAAAUCCGCUUAAUGCGGGGCUGAAUUCCCUUUAGAGAGCCCAUAGUUCCAUGUCUCAAGAGUUGUUCCUGGUUGGGCACCACGCAACGGGCUGUCACGAAUCCCGUCAGGUCCGGGAGGAAGCAGCGGUAAGUGGUCCAGCCUGUGUCGUGGGGUGGCUCCGGCCAAAUUAUGACAACUCGAGGUGGCUUGGAAAGGGUUCGACGAAGGGUGCGCAA
This 255-nucleotide signal recognition particle RNA is filed under the name Desulfobacterales bacterium. Its description in RNAcentral is "signal recognition particle sRNA large type". It matches the Rfam family "Bacterial large signal recognition particle RNA". Rfam says of the family: The signal recognition particle (SRP) is a universally conserved ribonucleoprotein involved in the co-translational targeting of proteins to membranes. The record is from RNAcentral. Lineage: Bacteria; Pseudomonadati; Thermodesulfobacteriota; Desulfobacteria; Desulfobacterales.